GCCUCGUUAGCGCAGUAGGCAGGUCGUCAGUCUUAUAAUCAAAUCUAGAAAUCUGAAGGUCGUGAGUUCGAUCCUCACACGGGGCA
Molecule: non-coding RNA, 86 nt
Organism: Nematostella vectensis (starlet sea anemone)
Lineage: Eukaryota; Metazoa; Cnidaria; Anthozoa; Actiniaria; Edwardsiidae
Source: Rfam